RNAcentral lists this ribosomal RNA (406 nucleotides) under uncultured bacterium. Its description in RNAcentral is "partial 16S ribosomal RNA". It matches the Rfam family "Bacterial small subunit ribosomal RNA", at positions 30 to 526 of the family's 1533-position model. The record is from RNAcentral.
AUUGAACGCUGGCGGCAGGCCUAACACAUGCAAGUCGAACGAGUGGCGGACGGGUGAGUAAUGUCUGGUAAACUGCCCGAUGGCGGGGGAUAACUACUGGAAACGGUAGCUAAUAACGCAUACCAUCGGAUGUGCCCAGCUGGGAUUAGCUAGUAGGUGGGGUAAAGGCUCACCUAGGCGACGAUCCCUAGCUGGUCUGAGAGGCUGACCAGCCACACUGGAACUGAGACACGGUCCAGACUCCUACGGGAGGCAGCAGUGGGGAAUAUUGCACAAUGGGCGCAAGCCUGAUGCAGCCAUGCCGCGUGUAUGAAGAAGGCCUUCGGGUUGUAAAGUACUUUCAGCGGGGAGGCGUUACCCGCAGAGGAAGCACCGGCUAACUCCGUGCCAGCAGCCGCGGUAAUUC